This 274-nucleotide ribosomal RNA is filed under the name uncultured bacterium. RNAcentral describes it as "partial 16S ribosomal RNA". It matches the Rfam family "Bacterial small subunit ribosomal RNA", at positions 523 to 796 of the family's 1533-position model. The record is from RNAcentral.
AUACGGAGGGUGCAAGCGUUAAUCGGAAUUACUGGGCGUAAAGAGUACGUAGGUGGUUUAUUAAGUCAGAUGUGAAAGCCCCGGGCUCAACCUGGGAACUGCAUUUGAAACUAGUAGACUAGAGUAUGGUAGAGGGGGGUAGAAUUUCUAGUGUAGCGGUGAAAUGCGUAGAUAUUAGAAGGAAUACCAGUGGCGAAGGCGGCCCCCUGGACCAAUACUGACACUGAGGUACGAAAGCGUGGGUAGCGAACAGGAUUAGAAACCCCAGUAGUCC